Molecule: long non-coding RNA, 8293 nt
Filed under: Marmota monax (woodchuck)
Lineage: Eukaryota; Metazoa; Chordata; Mammalia; Rodentia; Sciuridae
Rfam family: Histone 3' UTR stem-loop (bases 448-493)
Source: RNAcentral
UGGUGAUUUCCCAUGGCUCGUACCAAGCAGACAGCGCGAAAGUCCACCGGCGGCAAGGCGCCACGGAAGCAGCUGGCCACCAAGGCCGCUCGUAAGAGCGCCCCGGCCACCGGCGGCGUCAAGAAGCCUCACCGCUACCGGCCCGGCACCGUGGCGCUGCGCGAGAUCCGCCGCUACCAGAAGUCCACCGAGCUGCUGAUCCGCAAGCUGCCCUUCCAGCGCCUGGUGCGCGAGAUCGCGCAGGACUUCAAGACCGACCUGCGCUUCCAGAGCUCGGCCGUCAUGGCUCUGCAGGAGGCCUGCGAGGCCUACCUGGUGGGGCUGUUCGAGGACACCAACCUGUGCGCCAUCCACGCCAAGCGCGUCACUAUCAUGCCCAAGGACAUUCAGCUGGCCCGCCGCAUCCGCGGGGAAAGGGCGUGAGCUCAAGACUCCCUAGCCACCUUCCCAAAGGCUCUUUUCAGAGCCACCAAAGUCCUCAGUGAUAGUGCUGCUCCACAUUGAGUUAGGCUUGGUCUUUUCUUUUCCUCGUGGCUCACGUGAGAAGAUCCUCGGCACCACAAGGUAUUUUUCGUUACUCAAAUCGGUGAACCUUGAUCGGAAGGGCGUCAGGUUGCGGGAACUUGAAAGAGUUAAUUUUACAUUGGCUCUGGAGCCAGGCCGUGUAGUACAGUAGGCAACUGUGGGAAGUGGACUUGUUGUUUGGGGAGCUAUUGGAGAUUGAGCUGAGUCACAUCCCCAGCCAUCACUAAGUUGCUUAGGGUCUCGCUGAAAUGCUGAGGCUAGCCCUGAACUAGGCUAGUCCUCGGCCGCAGCUUCAGGAGUCGAUGGAAUUACAGGCGUGCACUACCGCGCUCCGCUGAGGAGUCCUUUCAAAGGAUGAUUGCUUCCUCCACUAAGGUAGAGUUUGCCAAUAGGUCAUCUUGCGGGUUGUGAAUGCUACAUAGUUGGGUGGCGGACAACUAUCCCUACAGGUUCCCAGGAGGUGAAAUUGUUAUGUUAAGGGAUGGCACCUUUCAGGAAACAGGCACCCCAAAAUGUCCUACCCAUCCCACCCGGAUUCAUGAGCUCAAGUGAGGAAGUUUUACGUCCGUACCUCAGUAACAGGCACGAGACUAUUAGAAUGGCAAAGGAGAAAAGAGAACACACAGAGUGGUCCUUAUAGAGAGGAGAGGGACGGGGUGCGCUCCAGUUUUAUUGGGAAUUCCCAGAGGUUUCCACAAGUCCCCAUCUUUACUUGGGAUUGACAGCCUGGGAGCUGCAUGGACCUUCUCCAAGAUAGGAUGGUGUGAUGUUCAGAAUUGGAAUUUUUAAGAAAAUUGAGAACCCCUGUCAGUUUCCUGCCCCUUCAAUCAGUUUAUUACCUACCCUUUGGACAGCUACCAUCAAGCUUUCUGUGUGAGGGUCCUGAUGUUCUGGUUGCCAGGGUGAUGGGGGUUUGUGACAGGUUUCUGUGAUAAGGGAGGGUACAGGCUACCGGGGAGGCUGUGACUUUGUUGUAGGGACAAAUGCACCAAAGAUAGCAGGAAACAGUUUUAUUUGGCUGCAGCCAGGUUCAGAGGGUAUAGCCUUUGCUGUAAUCAAUCAAUCCCCUGAACCCCAAGUUCAGGGAGUUUUAGGAUUUUAUACCCAGCGUGUAAGGGGAGGGGCUCAGAAGUUCACAUAAAAGCAGCUUUUUCUUUCACUGUUGUGGGCAAGUUAACCCUUCAAGGACAACACCUGAGAAGGGGGGAGCUUCUUCUCCCCUCUUCCCUCCCCCUGCCAGCUGUUACCAUGGAGCCCAAUUGUAACUUAUCUUAAAAAUGUAGACAUCUCUGUGAAGCCCAGCUCAAGGCCAGAGGCCUUGUUUGCACAUUUCUUCAAAAGUUUGUGAAAAACUAGUAAGGGGGUGUCCAGCACCUGGAGUGCUGGUAUCUUCUCGGCCAGUGGCCUAGUAAACAGGGUGACAUGAAAAUAGGAAGUUUAUCUACAUUGGACUCUUGCAGAGACUCUUUUGUUGACAGUCCCCAAAUCAGCCAUGGUGAAGAGGGCUUUUCUGUGGAGAAACGGGGUGCCACUUCAACUUGCUCUUGAAACUAGCUUUUUUUGUUUGUUCAUUUGGUACUGGGGAUUGAACCCAGGGGCACUUUAGCACUGAGCUACAGCCCUUUUUUAGUUUACAGUUUGAGACAGGGUGUCACUAAGUUGCUUAGGGCUCUGAUAAUUUGCUGAGGCUGGUCUUGGGACUAGAAAUCCUCCUGCCUCAGAUGUGACUAUGGGUGAGGGAGGUUUGACAUACCAGGCCCCAUCUUCCAGGUGCGUAUCUGUCAGACGAGUCUCCCUGUGGUUUUCACUCCUUUCCUGCUCUUCCAUUCAGGGCUGAACUAGCUACCUAACAGGUGGGUCUCAUAUUCUCUUACCCAGUACUAUGAUUGUUAAAGUGUCACUCCUGACCUGAAAGAACCAAACCUGAAUUCAGCUGAGCCAGCUGAACCACUGUUACCAGAAAGAAGGACAUGGUCGUGUUCAAAUGAGCAUUCUGGUUCCCAAGAGAACUGACGUUUUGUCUGGCAGUGACUCACCUGAUAAUCUCAUAGGAUAAAGCUCUGAAAUGUACAUUCCCAUGCUAAGAUUGUGAUGUUGUAAAGUUAGCACCUUAGCCUUUGGUCUUAUUUGCAGGAGCCUAGUAGUGCAGCCAUGGGCCUGAGGGGCAAUUCAGGGGCAUUAGGCCAUCUUAACUGUAGGCCAAUCACCUGAUGCUACACUAGUGAUUUACCAGGCAGAAGCCAGAGUGGAUACCACCUGGUACAGACCUGUCUCACCUGGGGCAACUGAAAGCUUCUAAAGACUUGGACCCUUGCAUGACUGAUGUGCAUGAAGUCCUAACCCAGGAGACAAGGUGCUGCCUAACAUCUGUGAAGCUAAGUGGUAACAGUUACACUUUGCUAUUUCUUUUUUCCCCUGUAGAAGAUGCAAGUCAUAGACCAAAGAUUUGUUGUUUUUGCUCGCUGCUUUAUUUCUAGGAUGGAUUGCUAAUUUGCUAUCACUCAGGCACAGAUUGCUCCAACUCAGCCCUCCAAAGGCUUUAGGAAAACAGAAGAUUCCAUUUUGGAAAAGACAUCAAUAGCCAGGGCAGAAGGCCUGAUUUCCUUCAAUGGAAAAGACAGACACACAGGCCCAUGCAAAGGUCUUCCUGCUCUAUUUCAAGGACACUGGCUGGGAUUUUAGAGUCUUCUGAGGUCUGCUGUUUCAAAUGGAAUGCACACUUAAGUGUGAACUUAGAAAUUAUGGUUUCGUUUGAUGCUCCUUCCUUCAAAAACUGGAGCCUAAUUCUAGUCCCCUGCAUGUACCCUGAAUUUAGAGAUGAGCUUCUAAGGAAAAAAAAGUCCCACCGCUUAAAGAGGAGGUCAUGACAAGCACUGUACUUCCUACUGGCUAAAUCUAGAUGCUCUGGACCCCAGGGGCCAUGUGGAAGAACCCUCCAGCAACCCCUUGGAGAGGCCUGCCUAUUAAGAAAGUGAGGCCUUCAACAGUCAGCCAAGAACUAUAGCCAGGAAGUGAGCCAGUUCUGGCCCCUGUCACGCCUCAGAUGACUAUAGCCCCUGCAACAAGUGGACUCUGCACUUCCUGAAAUACCCCAAGCUAGACCCCACAGAGCUAAACCACUGUGUACCUCAUCUUCAGAAGGUGAGAGAGAGUAAACUUGCUGUUUUAAGCUGCUACAUUUUUUAGUAAUUUGUUUCACAGUGAGUAACUGAUGAGACAGGAGAGUCAGGAGUCAUCCUAAAGAAUCAAGUAGCCCAGGUGGGAGGAGUGCCCACAGCUUGGUCCCUGGCUACAGGGAAGUCUGGUCCACCGGACCUCUCCUUUCCUUCCCAGGAAUCUGCAGGAUUUAUUUGUGUUGCUAUCCAGAGGCUGAAAACUAGCCUAGUACACUAAGAAUUCAGGAGGAGGAGGAAAGCUGUGGCCUCUCAGGCAGAGAAGCUGUGCAGGUAAGCACCUCUGGCUAGCAGCUUUGAAGGAGAAAGAAAUCUUUAAGUUUUUCAGUUCACUUAGAAAUGAGUAAGACUCCAAGAAAUCAAUGUCCCUGUGAACAAGUAUUGACUUAUUAAACCAGUAUUCUAUUUUGUUUUAAUUUGCCAUUUCCAAGGAAACUGGCUAAGAAUUAACUCAGUUAAGAGACUGCAUGUGCAGGAAGCCUCUCUGACCUUGCCCUGUUAGUGCUAACAAUUGUUUCAUGCCCUUCUCUUUUAAGCUUUCCCACAUUUACUAUCACAUCUGACUAUUAAAGGAACAUUGUGAGGUAGGCACACAGUUAGGGUGUAGCUCAUUCAUGCAGGGAAGGGGUGGGGGGGGGGGCUUGGCACAGAAAAUGUUCUUGGUGCAGGUGGCCCAGGCAUUAUGGCUGCACCCUCCAGUUUUUGAAAAAUUUCUGUGUGUCAGAGGUACCAUCUCUAGUGGUCCUACUACUUGUUAAAUAAGCCUUUACAAAUCGUUAUUCUCCUUUUUCUACAUCCCACACAAAUUUAUACCAAUGCAGGGGAGGAGAAAUAUCUUCCUUCUAUUUAAAUUCAUAGGCCAGAGCUUCUGUAACAAAAGAUUAAUGAGAGAAAAGCAUGCAAAUGUAUUAAAUGUAAAUUUUGUAUGAACAGUCUUGUUAAGGCAAUGAGUACUACCAAAAAAAUAUAAGUCCUCAUGCCAAUCCAAUAAUGAGGACACAACUGUAAGGAAAAGAAAAAAAGAAGUCUUAUUGCUUUGCUAGCAAAGGAGAAAUACAGGGGACUUCUACCCCAGAGACUGUGAUUCUGCCUGUCAUGGGAAACAGGACUUUUAAAGAGGGGAUUCAAAGGCUACAUUCUAAGCUGUUCUUUGUCAUGGGUCAUAAUUCACAUGUAGCAUUUCUUAGACUUGGGGCCAUCCCUGAAGUCUAAAUUACUUCAUUCCUGUGGUACAUAAGCUCAAGGACAGGUAACCUGGCCUAGGAUGGGAAGAAAAGUGAUCUUGAUUCCCCAAGGUUAGGGAGGGGAAGAGGGAAAAGAGGUGAGGGAAGGGGAUAUCAGUUUUAAAAUAAGCCUCAGUGGCAGAACAGUGAAGCAUGAAAUGAACCUGUUGCAUUUGGACCCAAAGCAGUUAAACUGGAAUGUUGCAUGCUGGGGGUGGGGGUGGGGGGGUAGUUACCAAGGCCAGCUCACCAGAGGGAGUCCUGUGGCUCUCUGUCAUUGAACAUAAGGGCAUUCCUUUCCUCUGGACUUAAGACUUCAAGGGAAGGUCAGAAAUCCUUCUUGCAUGUGCUAUUUCUCAAGUUCCUGCAACUUUAAAUACCCCAAAUCCUGGGAUAGCAUGCUCUGAACCCAUCACUCACAGUUGAUUUCGUUAUUUGAAUGCCAUUUUCCUGAACUACCUGUCAGAGGUACCAUCUCUAGUGGUCCUACUACUUAUUAAAUAAGCCAUUGCAAAUCAUUAUUCUCCUUUUUUUCUACAAAACAGGUCUUUCCCUUUCUUUAAGAGAUGUUUUAGAGGUUAAAUGAGGUGAUAUGAGACAGUGCCUUGAUCAAUGCCCCAGAGAACAAGUUAGUUUCCUCUCUGGAUUUUGGUUAGGAGAGCUGGAGAAACAAACCGAAGUCCUCUGAUGAGACUAAACUGGGGUUUAACUCUUGUCACUGGUUAAAACUUAGUCAUUGAAUUGGAUAGCUUCCUAACACAUAAACAAGUCAAUUUUAUGGCUAAUCUAAUAGGCAAAUAGCUAAUCUUAUUUCUUUGGCAAUCUGUUAGCUUUUGUUUUCCACAAGGCAGAUUCCCCCCAUACUUCUCUUCAAAUUCUGGACACUACAUGGAAUACAUGAAGCAUCAAUCUAGGAGGCAGAAAAGAUGUUGGAAACAUUAGUUGAAAACUAACACUCACAGGGCUGCUGAUGCUCCCCAGAAGUGCCGAGGUCCUGAAAGGCCUUCAACAGGAGAGCAAGCAGAGUUCCAACCAUGCACUCUAAUCCAAGCUCAGGGAGGUUUCCACUUCAUAACGGGAGCUGCUGCCAGAAGCACUCCCCACUGGCCUGGCUCUUAUAAGGAUUUGGGCCAUGGAAACAUACAAGGGAGCAUUCCUCUGGUGAGCAAACUCCCGGAGGGUAAGGGGCACCCGGUUAUCCACACUUGGAAUAUUCUACAGUUUCUCCCUGAGACUAGUAAGAUAACUCAUACAUGUCAGUGCCUAGCUGCUGCCUUCAUGAGGAGGCUCUGUGCUAGGGUCUUAUCAGCCUCCAUCUUAGUGUCAGACACUCAGCUUCUGGGCAUGAAGGAACUUAGAAAGUUCCUUUAUAAAUAAAGCUGGCCGCUCAGAUGAGGAGUGCCCUUUUUACUUCGCCCCUGCAUCUUGCUUGCUUCUGUAUAGGCUCUCAUCAGGAAAGAGGGUUUAAGAUGUAAAAAACUGAAUUUAUUUAGGUGUCCCUGCUGAUAAUGAUAAUAAAAAAACUUGAAUACAUUUAAAAUGCUGUUCUUUCUGAAAUGGAAAAUGAGAGAAGCUGUAUUAAAAUUUUCAUUUACAUAAGUAGCCCGAAAGAGGGGUUACACGCACUAGUUCUAUAUAAGAAAAUAUGCUUUGAGUGUUUUAAUUUAAAUUGAAGAAAAAUCUUCAGAUUCUUAAUGCAGAAGAAAUUUUUCGACUUCACUUGUAUUCAGAGACAUUCGAAUGAAAACAGCAAACUGUAUAACACCCAUCAGACUGGCAGAAUAAGAAAGCUAGUGUCUGAGUCCCCUAGUACUGUGACAGCAAAAGGUUCCAGAGCCACCUGUUUGUUGGCUUACGAACAAGAUACUGCCCUCUGUUCUAGGCUAAGCAGUCCAGUAUGAUCCAUUUCCUUGUUCACUGAACAGUGAACCUCAAGCUGUGUCCUAAGACUGCAGAAGGGGCAGGCAGAGCUCUGGGACCUCCACUAUUAAAGCCCUGAUCCCAUUGUAAAAUCCUUGAACUGGUGACCUGAUCUCCUCCUGAGGCCCUGGCUCUCAGCACCAUCACUUGGGGGAUUGGGCUUCAACAUAUGAAUUUUGGCACGACAGGAACAUUCCAUCCAAAGCACCAAAUGUAACUGUGCCUUGGUAGGAAGUGGAGAGACCCAUGUGCUGAGGUGGCCCUUUGCCAUGACUUUGUACAAGAUGGAUUGGAGAACCACCAGCCAUCUCUCCCAUGCCAGGCCCGUGCCCCAAGGAAGCCUACAGAUCCAUGAAGUCAUAUUCAUGAUAAUAGGAAGGCAGGGAGAAUUUAAGGGGAUAAGUAAAAUAAGAGUGUAGGAAUACCAAAAAAUGCCUUCUUUUGUCUAAGGUAAGAUUAGAAGUAAAUGGCAAAAGCCAAAGCUGAACUCAAGACUAAGUCCCCCUUCCUACAGGCACCAGUUCACACCUGGGAACACCAGUGCUGGGAACUGAAUGGGAUGGCCUAGCUCUAGUCCAAGUAGGCUGAUGACCACAGAAGGAGUCCGACCUGUGUGGCUUUUAGAGAAAGCCACAUGGGAGUGCCUGUCUGUGAAAACUCCUGCCCCAGCCUGAGGCCAGAAAGGAGAGUCGGCCUGGUAGUAGAGGGCUACAUCAUCUUUACCUUGGAUUCUGUUCUCGAGACAUCCAGGUUGGGAGAUGUUAGCAAGAGGUGAGGAAGAGAGUAAGAGCUAAAUAUUGGCCUGAAAUGCAUGAAAACCAGCAAAACUGAGGGAAGUCUAGAGGGGAGCCUAACGAUCUGCUGGGAGCCAUUAGCCAAGUAGGUAUGACAAUUUCCUUGCCAGCGUACCCCAUGUUGCUUAGUGGAAGGACUCGUGGAAAUAGGACAUUUUGCAGUGACAUUGCAUGUAGGUGACCUUGCNGUUGCUGUUUGAAUCUACAAACUGUGUGGUGGCUCGUGAUUGUGUGCCCAGCCAGACUGUGGCAAUGAUCACCAUUGGCUACGUGCAUAAGGACACUAUAAUGUGUCACCCAAAAUAUGCCUCUUUGGCAUAAGGAUUAUUUUAAGCAGAUGGUCUUGAGAAACUAUAGACAUGGGACAAGUUCUGAGACCAAAGGGUUCUUUUGUAAGGGGAAUUUACAUCUAAGCUGGAAGUCUCCAUUUGUAAUGCUCUCUCCCUCUCCAUGCCAGGAAAGAAAGGAGGGCUGCCUCAAGAUGGAUUCUCAGUGACCAUUUGCAGGCCAAUCCUUUUCUUGUUGCCAUGCUUCUCCAAGUCCCCAUAACUGGCCUCCCAUUCCUGCUCCUGUUCCAGCUGAAGAUAGUUUCUAUGCCACUUCUAUGAGGUGCUCAAAUUCCUUCAUAUCUUUUGUUUAUAUAUGAAAUAUACAUCCC